GCUUUUUUGUUAUAAUAAUGGAGUAGAGUUUAUGAACGGUAGCUUUGAUUGGAGGUGGUGCUUAUGAUUAUUUCGUGGGCAAAACCUCACAAAACAUGAAAGGCGAAAAUUUUUUGACUGUAUUUCAGGCAUUGAGUCUCAUGAUUGCAUUUGCAACUUUGAUGAUUCUUGUCAUUAAUACGAG
RNAcentral lists this small RNA (184 nucleotides) under Lactococcus cremoris subsp. cremoris TIFN6. RNAcentral's name for it is "Lactococcus lactis subsp. cremoris TIFN6 Listeria sRNA rli28". It matches the Rfam family "Listeria sRNA rli28". Lineage: Bacteria; Bacillati; Bacillota; Bacilli; Lactobacillales; Streptococcaceae. The record is from Rfam by way of RNAcentral.